Small nucleolar RNA from Benincasa hispida (wax gourd), 104 nucleotides. The record is from RefSeq and is a predicted model, not a curated record. NCBI's taxonomy places the organism in Eukaryota, Viridiplantae, Streptophyta, Magnoliopsida, Cucurbitales, Cucurbitaceae.
AAUCCAUGAUUGGGGCAAUUCUUGACUAAUCCUUUGAAACGCUCCCAUGCGGCGCUCAAGGUUUCAGCUUCUUCUUGCUCAAAGUUCAUGAUCUCUCUCCACCU